This 253-nucleotide ribosomal RNA is filed under the name uncultured bacterium. RNAcentral describes it as "partial 16S ribosomal RNA". It matches the Rfam family "Bacterial small subunit ribosomal RNA", at positions 524 to 776 of the family's 1533-position model. The record is from RNAcentral.
UACGUAGGGUGCGAGCGUUGUCCGGAAUUAUUGGGCGUAAAGAGCUUGUAGGCGGUUUGUCGCGUCUGCUGUGAAAUUCCAGGGCUUAACCCUGGGCUUGCAGUGGGUACGGGCAGACUAGAGUGUGGUAGGGGAGACUGGAAUUCCUGGUGUAGCGGUGAAAUGCGCAGAUAUCAGGAGGAACACCGAUGGCGAAGGCAGCUCACUGGGACGGUACUGACGCUGAGACGCGAAAGCGUGGGGAGCAAACAGG